Non-coding RNA from Delphinapterus leucas (beluga whale), 4052 nucleotides. The record is from RefSeq and is a predicted model, not a curated record. NCBI's taxonomy places the organism in Eukaryota, Metazoa, Chordata, Mammalia, Artiodactyla, Monodontidae.
CUGCUGCUCGCACACCCGGGCGCUCACACUCGAGUGGGGGUCCGGGGGGUGGGGUACUGGGCGCGAGCUUGGGUUCCGGCCGUAAGCUGGCGGCGGUAGGAGGGGACGGCAGGUACCUACCUGACUCUCCAUCCUAAGGGUCACCUGAAGGAUGGACAUCCUAGGACCGUCUACCUGGAUGCAUCAGAACUCAUUUCUUUUCAAGGGAGUCAAGAAAGGACAGGUUACUUGGCCAUGCAGCAAUUGACCUCUCCAUGAUUGAAGCUUAAAGAUACAUUCAAGAAAGUUUCAUCUCCACUACAUCCAAAAGGUGCACGACAAUUCACACGUACACCUCUCGGCGCUGCCUCCUUCUCCUGAGAUGCAACUCCAAGACAUUUCCUAGCCGUGCUCCUCAGGUAAGAACAAGGCGCAAGACCAACCCCUGCUCUCCUGGAGCUUACAUUCUAGUGGGGGUGAUGUCAACAGACAGACAAACCAAGAAAAUAGUUACAGAUUUGUAUCCGUGUUCUGAGGGAAACAAACACGACUUUGGAUAGAAAAUACUGGGGGAUCUAGGUGGUCAAGGAAGGUUUCUCAAGGAGAAAAUGACAUUUAAGCCAAAACUUGGAGGAGAGGAGACUGUAUUCGUUUCCUGGGGCUGCCAUAACACAGUACCACAAGCCAGGUGGCGGAAGUAACAGAAACGCAUUGCCUCACAGUUCUGGAAGCUGGAAGUCCAAGAUCAAGGUGUCCACAGGGUUGGCUCCUUCUGAGGGUUAUGGGGGAAGGAUCUGUUCCUUGCCUCCUGGCUUCUGGUGUUGGCCAGCAAUCCUGGGCAUUCUUUGGCUUGUAGCAGCAUCACUCCAUCUCUCCCUUCAUCUUCACGUGGUCUUCUCCCUGGAUGUGUGUCUGUAUCCAAAUUUCCCCAUUUUAUAGGGACACUAGUCUUAUUGGAUUAGGGGCCCACCAUACUCCAAUAUGAUCUCAUCUUAAUUCAUUACAUCUGCAAAGACAAUCUGAGGUAUUGGGGGAUUAGGAUUUCAAUAUAUGAAUUUUGAGGGGGACACACUUCAACACAUAACUGAUAUCCAUCGUGUGAUGAAGCCCCGAGCCAGAGGGAAGACUGAACACAAAGGCCAUGAAAAGCAAAAGGGUCUGGCAUAUUCUGGAAACCAAAAGAAGGUGAAUGUGACUUAAGAGUUCUGAAUGAAGGUAAGAAGGACACAGGCAGGUGGGCAGAGGCCAGAUCAAGGACUUUGGAUUUUAUUCUAAGAUCAAUGGGAAGAUUUUGAAGGGUUCUGUGGUUUUAAAAGGUCACGCUAUAAAUUUCCCAACUGUCUCCUCAACAUCAAUGAAAUGCAAGGAUUUCUUAAUUUGUGUAUUUCUCAGAAGAAUUUGUAACUGUUCUUGCACUGACCUCUCAGUUCAUUACAUGAUGAAUUUGUUGAGGAAACAAUGCAUUGGGGAUAUUUUGAAACAGUUUAAUCUUCUUUUUCAUUUCUUUUUGGCAUUCCUAAGGUAUUUCUUUCCCUUUAACUUUCUGAUUUUCAUCUCCACAAAUAAAUGAAGUAAAUUUUUACUUCAUUCUUUUUACCCUAUCCCCAUAAAAACUUCCCUUAAAAAAAAAAGAAGAUAUAUUCAACUGUGGAUUCCAGGCACAUGCUAUUUUCCUGUUUUGAGUGAAUGAUGAUAAUUUUCAGAGAUUGUGUCACCACAAAAUCAACAUUCAUUCCAAAAUUUAAUGGUUUCAAAUGUAUUUCUUUUUUUGAUUUCUAAACAUUUUCAAAUUUCUUUUCCAUCAGAAACCCCUUGUGUGUAAUAAAUAGUUUCCACAAAACUGAAUUUUUGUUGGCAGAACAAUCGGCGUAAGUAAAACUUCACGAUUUGCCUUGGGUGUUUUGUAAUUUGAAAGCAAAUGUUGGUUUAAACAGCCCACCAUAUAUUUUGUCAAUGUCCAGCUGUGGAUGCUGGGUUUUUAGCACCACUUCUUUCCGGACAACCAAAAAAAAAUAUCACUUUCUUUCCUGUUUUACAUAUUGAGGUUCUGCGUAAGAUUUCAUUUGGGGAAAAGGUUCUGUCGCUUUAAAAAAAAAAUGGAAAAAAGAUCAAAGCCACCAAUACUACUGGCAGUUAGUUUUGCUUCAUUUUCCUAUAACUGGAGAUAAGAAAGAAAACACGACAAACCAUAAGUGAAGACCCUUAAGACUGAAGGAGAGAAAGAAAUAUGCAGACCCAGGAACAGACGCCCGAGGGAGGGUUGAUGGGUGAGUUCACGCUGGGUGGCUGGGCGGAGCCAGCCUCUGCGAAGGGGCCAACAUUGUAGGUUCACCCUCACUUGAGUUGCUCAGGUUGUCUCCAUAUUUCCUUGUUUUUAUUUCCUACCUUGAUGAGACCUUUUCAUCUUUUCAGGGAUGCAGAACCAACAGAUUCAUGACGACUCGUUUCACAAUUCAUCAUAUUUCCUAUUUUACUUGCUCAACUUCCACAUAUAACAGGAUUGGCAGAAGGGAGAGAAAACAACUCAUUUGAAGGCAGUAAAGGGUAGGAUGUCUCUGUCUCUGUCUCUGUCUCUCUCUCUCUCACACACACACACACACACACACACACACACACACACAGUAGAGGAGGAUUCUCUGCAUGCAGAAACUCAAUUCAGAACAUUUUUCCCACAGAAAUAAUAAGAAACCAUGAUGGUAAAAGUAUAUAGUUUUCCUUCAUUAUGGGUUAAAAUAAGAGUUUGUGGGCUGGCCCGGGAAUACACCAUUUUAUAACAUCGUACACGUGGGAAACUUGCAUUCUGAAAUCUAGACAGCUGUUUUCAAAAGACACUAUGAGGGCUCAGUGCGUUGUGUGGGCCUGCGGCUGCCCACCCUCCGCAGGACCGUGCUCAGCAGUUUGGAGGCGAUGAGGAAGAAAGAGGCCUGCUUCCUGAUCUUGAGGCAUUUGCAGUCCACGUUGGGAGUCAGGGCCCACAGUGCAAAGAUGAUUAUUUCAAGAUAGAAAUGGCACGUGGCCCCACUCCCAGGGGACCAGGAUGUAUUAUAAAGAAUGAAGAUCAAGAUGAAAAGAAAGGUUCCUAUUUUGAUCUCCUUUUUGCAAAGACAACAGUGGACACCCCAAAAAAGUCUGAAUUCGAAAGGAUAAAGGUGUAGAUAUGAAGCUGUUAAUAAUGGUCACCUUAAGGACAGAUGACAGCAGACUUGUCAUCAGUUAAGGAUCUGGAAAUGAGAUCAUUCUGGACCAUCCUGGUGGGCCCUCAAUCCAAAGACAAGUGUCCUUAUAAAAGAAGAGAAGAAGACACAGCCACAGAGGACAAGUCCACGUGAGCACAAAGGCGAGACUACAGUGAUGCAGCUGCAAAAGCCAAGGAAUGCUCGGAACCACGGCAAACUGGAAGAGGCGAGGAAGGAUUCUCCCCAGAGCCGUCCUGGGCCAAGAACUACGGUCGGCUUUCUAGUUCCUGUUCUCUCUUCCUAGAAUGUUCUUCUCCAGCUCUUUGCAUGGCUGCUUUGUUCCAUGAGGUCUCACUUAACAUGGGCAAAACCAGCAGAAGGUCAUACACUAUCAGACCGCAUCUCUUACCUACAAGAGGAUCCCUGGCUAGAGAGGUUGGAUUGAAGCUUCCUUCUUUCCUUUCUGGCAGCAGCGAGGAAAGGAGAAGCUUUCUGGAGGCCAGGCUCCGAAGUGCACUGAGCUGGUGAUCCCUCCUGCAGUCGGUGUGAAUGGAUGCUCCUAACCUGCAAAGUAGAGCCUACGGAGCUGCAGGAAGGGAUGGUGAGCUCCAUCUCCCAGGCUCCAGGGAACAGAGGAGCCUUCAGAGACCCUCCCUGGCCCUGUCAGACGAUAGCCAGCGAAGCGGUGGGCACUGCCCAGAACUCUUGGCGUACUGUGUAAAGAGGGGAAGGAGGGUGAGGUGUUCUUUCUUCACAGUGCCCUGGUCCACAGGAGAAGUCAGUCGCCCUGUGGAUAAAAAGGAACCUAGGGGCAGGACAGGAAUAAAGACGCAGACGUACAGAAUGGACUUGAGGACACGGGGAGGGGGAAGGGUCAGCUGGGACGAAGUGAGAGAG